GUGGGGAAUUUUGGACAAUGGGCGCAAGCCUGAUCCAGCAAUGCCGCGUGCAGGAAGAAGGCCUUCGGGUUGUAAACUGCUUUUGUACGGAACGAAACGGUCCUGGCUAAUAUCCGGGGCUAAUGACGGUACCGUAAGAAUAAGCACCGGCUAACUACGUGCCAGCAGCCGCGGUAAUACGUAGGGUGCGAGCGUUAAUCGGAAUUACUGGGCGUAAAGCGUGCGCAGGCGGUGCUGUAAGACAGGCGUGAAAUCCCCGGGCUCAACCUGGGGAUUGCGCUUGUGACUGCAGUGCUGGAGUGCGGCAGAGGGGGAUGGAAUUCCGCGUGUAGCAGUGAAAUGCGUAGAUAUGCGGAGGAACACCGAUGGCGAAGGCAAUCCCCUGGGCCUGUACUGACGCUCAUGCACGAAAGCGUGGGGAGCAAACAGGAUUAGAUACCCUAGUAGUCC
Molecule: ribosomal RNA, 450 nt
Filed under: uncultured bacterium
Lineage: Bacteria
Description: partial 16S ribosomal RNA
Rfam family: Bacterial small subunit ribosomal RNA
Source: RNAcentral